UAAUUACACGCAUAUAAAUGCGUAUAAUCAUCUCACUCUCAGUCUUCUCUCGCUCUCUUCUUCAUCCAACUCUUUUCUUUACCCAGAAAUCAUAGUCUUCCUCUCUCUUUCAUUCUGAAAUCCCAAAUAGGGAAACCCCCAAUCUCAGAUUCCUCGACAUCAACCAAAUCUCUAUUGGUCGAACCCUCAAUCUGAAACCCAAAUUUCAUUGACCUAACUCUCGUCUCCAUAAUUAGCUGGAUUUACACCACACAGCCAUGGGCCAAGAACUUGAAGAACAAGCAGCGCUGCCGGUCAUCCUCCGAUGGCAAGAUUUGGGCGAGUUGCCGAAAAACGAGCUGAUUAAUAAGGCUCUUGAAGACAAUACCCCUCCUCGUGGGAGAGAGAGAGAGAGAAAGAGCUUCCUCUCUGAUCUGGACACAGCGCGACCCGGCCAGCGACCGACCGGAACUUCCACGUCCGGCCACCGAUAGACGACGGACGACCACCACCUUCUUCGUCUUGCCGUCGCCAACAACCUCCUAUCCUUGGAUUGUCCAUGCACUGAACGGAGAAGUAAGCCCGACGACGAGAAGCCCGAACAUUCACCAGCAACCUCUGUAAUUUCCGGCAACCGAUUAAGCUUCAUCUGCUCGGGUUCGACGCGGUUGCUACGCCGGCGACUUCUCCAACGCAUCUGGGCUUGGUUUCUGGUUCGAUUGCUUCCCUGGACGAGGCCUGACCUUGAGUGGGAGUUGAACUUCAAAGAUUUCUGGAUUGUAGCACAAGGCAUCACCAACUCAUCACCAACCCAGUCUCGGCAGCAAGCUUUGGAAAAUGAAGUUUCUGUUACAAUACCAGAAACUAGCAAAGAGAUCAUUCUUUGAAUUUUACUCUUAGGUCUAAAAUCAUCAACGGUCUGAGUUGAAAGAGAGGGUACGUAUGGCAUCUUUUGAUAAUGAGGCAGAGCCUCUGCCAGUUACGAAUUACUAUUUCGAAGAUGACAAGAAUGAACCUAUUUCGUUUCAUGUUUAUAAACUAGAGUCUAAUGUACCAACUAAGCAAAGGUGGUGCCUUCGGCCAUGGUCAUGGAAUGUCCCAUGGAAUCAAAUGAGAACACACAGAACCUUCAACUGCCAUGGAGAUGCAAAUAUGGAAGUUACGAUCAUCCAUAGUAUAGAUAAGGGGUUUGGGGGACCACCUUCUUCUUCGUCAAUGUCAUUACGACGAGUUCAGACCAAAAGAGGGAGAGAGAGCUCUUCUCGUUAAUAUAUGGUCUGUUAGUUAAUUGUUUUAUUUUAGUCUUAUUGUUAUAUUGUUCUCUUUUUGAUUGUGGGAAGCUAGAUUAGAAGGGCUGGGGGCCGACUAAAUAAGGAAAGGAGGGGGACGGGAGAAAGAAAAAAAAAAAAAAAAAAGGGAAGAGAGAGUUGGAGAGUUUGGGUUUUUGUCGAAGGCAACCAUUUGGGUAUCUCUGGAUUUGAGGGGAGAGAAGCUAGAAGGUUUCUGUUGAUUUUCAGAAGCAAAGAUGAAGAAUUGAGAAUCUGAUCUCUUAGUGAAGGGGUUUUGCUUUGAGUUGGGUUGGUUGCAUUAAUUGUUUCCAUUCUGCUCUAUGAUUCGAAAAGCAAACUGUGGAUGGAAGGAGGAGAUUUAGGAGAGGUGUUUCAGCCUUUGUUAUUCUUUUUUCUACUAUUCAAAGCUUUGAGCCUUUUGGGUUUUCCUUUUUUGGCUGUUCUUGUUUUGGGUCUGCUUAAGAACUGAGGUGAGUGGCUGUUCUUUCUUGCGUUAUGUUUUAUUUUUGAUUUUUCCUUGGCUGAUUUCUAUGUUAAAUUGAGAUGUUGGUGUGGGUCAAUGAGUGAUUUCGUACCUAGAAAUAUUAGUUCUAUUUAUCUUUUAUCGUUGUUGGUUUUAGUUUGGGAUCUUUGAUGUCUGGUAAAGCUUUUGAUUUGUAAACUGUGGUUAGGUUGGGUGUUUGAUAUCAUGAGUUUGGAAUUGGUUUGAAUUCUGAUAUCUUUCUUUCUGAGCUUUUGCUUUGUUAUUUUAUAUACUUUGUUCUCUAUUAGGUGUCGAGGACAAUUACUUGAGCUUCAAUUGUGUUUUGGUCUGUUGCUUAUGUUUCAAAAGGAACUCGAUGUUGGUACGAUGUGACCAUAGUAUUGUGCUAGUUUGUAUUUGUUUACAGACUGAGAUUUUGUCACUCUUCCUUUUUGUUUUUUUUUUUUGAGUAAUCAGCUUGUAUACCUUUGGGUCUGGCUUCUUCUUGUAAGAUCUUGUAAUUAUGCUCUUUUGAAAACUCAACUAUGUAUAUUUGCAAAUGUAGAAAGGUACUGGAACUUUGAAAUGGAGCAGUGUUUUAAAUUCAAAUAUGAAGUGCUUUCACUUCCUUUUUGUUUCUUUCCUUCUGUUAGUCUUUUUCAGUUAGUUGUCUAUGUUCUUAAUUCCAUAUAUUGGGAUUGGGGCGUGACAAUGGUUCUAAUGAGAUUAGUCCUGAAGUUUUUCAGAUAUCAAUGCUGAUGAAAAGGAGGCAAGCUAUGGGGCUUGGUUCCCAUCCCCACAUCGAGUUUUGGUGCUUGAUGGUGUUCAGGGUCGAGUCACAAGAGAGGGAAAAUAUUGAUCCUAUGGGCGCACCAUUUUCUGCUUCUGCUAGCAUAUAAUAUUCACAUGCAGCAGCUGCUCAUGUUUUUUUCAUUAAUCAUAUUAUUUUUUGAUGGUUUAUGGAUAUUUAUAAUGGCAUGGCACUAGAAUGCUAUCUUGUUUUGGAACAAUAUGUAUUUGUAUCAACUUUUGAUGUCCCAAGUAGAUGGGCAUGUAUUAUAGAAUGCUUUUCUUCUUUUAAUGCUGGCUUGGAUGAUUGGGGAAUGCUCCCUUUUUACAUUUGAAGUUUAUAGUAUGGGUUGGAUUA
This is a long non-coding RNA of Rosa rugosa (rugosa rose), 2878 nucleotides long. RefSeq lists it as uncharacterized. NCBI's taxonomy places the organism in Eukaryota, Viridiplantae, Streptophyta, Magnoliopsida, Rosales, Rosaceae. The transcript has 7 exons. The record is from RefSeq and is a predicted model, not a curated record.